GACGAACGCUGGCGGCGUGCCUAAUACAUGCAAGUAGAACGCACAGUUUAUACCGUAGCUUGCUACACCAUACACUGUGAGUUGCGAACGGGUGAGUAACGCGUAGGUAACCUGCCUGGUAGCGGGGGAUAACUAUUGGAAACGAUAGCUAAUACCGCAUAAUAUUGAUUAUUGCAUGAUAAUUGAUUGAAAGAUGCUAUUGCAUCACUACCAGAUGGACCUGCGUUGUAUUAGCUAGUAGGUGAGGUAACGGCUCACCUAGGCGACGAUACAUAGCCGACCGGAGAGGGUGAUCGGCCACACUGGGACUGAGACACGGCCCAGACUCCUACGGGAGGCAGCAGUAGGGAAUCUUCGGCAAUAGACGAAAGUCUGACCGAGCAACGCCGCGUGAGUGAAGAAGGUUUUCGGAUCGUAAAGCUCUGUUGUAAGAGAAGAACGGGUGUGAGAGUGGAAAGUUCACACUGUGACGGUAUCUUACCAGAAAGGGACGGCUAACUACGUG
Molecule: ribosomal RNA, 505 nt
Filed under: uncultured bacterium
Lineage: Bacteria
Description: partial 16S ribosomal RNA
Rfam family: Bacterial small subunit ribosomal RNA
Source: RNAcentral